CCAGCAGCCGCGGUAAUUCCAGCUCCAAUAGCGUAUAUUAAAGUUGUUGCAGUUAAAAAGCUCGUAGUUGAAUUUCGGGGUUAGUAGGUUGGUCAUGCCUCUGGUAUGCACUGGCCUCACUGAUUCCUCCUUCCUGAUGAGCCGUAAUGCCAUUAAUUUGGUGUUGCGGGGAAUUUGGACUGUUACUUUGAAAAAAUUAGAGUGUUUAAAGCAAGCUAACGCUUGAAUACAUUAGCAUGGAAUAAUGAAAUAGGACGUUCGAUCCUAUUUUGUUGGUUUCUAGGAUUGACGUAAUGAUUAAUAGGGAUAUUGGGGGCAUUAGUAUUCAAUUGUCAGAGGUGAAAUUCUUGGAUUUAUUGAAGACUAACUACUGCGAAAGCAUUUGUCAAGGAUGUUUUCAUUAAUCAAGAACGAAAGUUAGGGGGAUCGAAGACGAUCAGAUACCGUCGUAGUCUUAACCAUAAACUAUGCCGACUAGGGAUCGGAUGAUGUUAAUUUUUAAUGACUCAUUCGGCGCCUUACG
RNAcentral lists this ribosomal RNA (523 nucleotides) under uncultured Glomus. Its description in RNAcentral is "SSU rRNA". It matches the Rfam family "Eukaryotic small subunit ribosomal RNA", at positions 567 to 1092 of the family's 1831-position model. Lineage: Eukaryota; Fungi; Glomeromycota; Glomeromycetes; Glomerales; Glomeraceae. The record is from RNAcentral.